RNAcentral lists this long non-coding RNA (2651 nucleotides) under Drosophila guanche. The record is from RNAcentral. Lineage: Eukaryota; Metazoa; Arthropoda; Insecta; Diptera; Drosophilidae.
CAAAGAUAUUCAGAAAAUACCUGAAGAGAAAUACAGCCGCCGCUGAGCCGCUUAGAAUAUCAAAAAAGUGCCAAACGCAAAUAAGCGGUAAGCCAUACAUUCUUGUUCGUGUUUUUUUUUGUUAAGCAGAAAAUUGUGAUACGGUAGAAUCAACAUUUUUUUUCUUCUCUCUUUUCCUUUUGUUUUCCGUUUUUGCAAGUGCAGAUUGGCACUUAGUACUUAGUGCAAAUCUUUUACAUUGAAGCUACAAGUUCAUUCACCCUUGAACCAAAGCCGUGCAUUAAAGGCAAUAAAAUCACUCAAUUCGCCGAGUAGAAAAGCAACAAACAAAAACAGCUGUUUUGUCUACGGCAGUGCCGAAUAAUUAAUAAUUGAUUCCGCUCCCAGCGGUCGGGAAUUCGCCGCUAUUAGGCGCACCUAAAGCCAAGAGAAGCCGCUGCAAUUGGACGAGAAGUAGUUUAAUUCGCACCUCCGAAGCCACCGUCUAGACGGGGAAGCCUCGAUUUUCUAAUCGGGAAAUGUCGGUUAAAUAACCGUUCGUUAAACUUUUGUAUACAUAUCUCUGGCUUUUUUUGUCCCACCCUAGCCUAAGUGUAAAAUAAGUUUGGUAGUGUUAAGUGAAACAUGAAAUAUUAAGUGAUUACGGAGGAAUGUAAAAGUCACAUAAAAGUGGUUAAAAAUUGUAAUAUUGUGUGGAGCAUUAGAAAACGCCGUUAAUUGGUGCAAUCGACGUUCCUCUUCCCUUUUUGUUCUUCGUGCAUGUCUUUCUCUUCUAAUAUGGUCUGGUAUUCACCACAGUGGCGUUGAGAGCCGAAAAUAUGCGAGCAUUGAAGAGAGAGAAGACGAAGAUUGCGAGAGCGAAGAAAAAAAAUAUUAGCUCUUCUACUUAGAUUUUGUGUUUGUGCUUUCUUUCUCGAAAAAAGCGCUUUUGGAGAUGGAAGGUUCCGAGAUAUGCACGUAAGUGGAAAGCAAAUUACUUUUAUUGCAUGUCACAAAGAUUAUAAGAGAGGGAAUGGGGAAGGAGAGUGAGCGCACUAAUAUAGUUUUAACCAUUUUUUUCGACAUAUACUUAUGUGAAUUUAAAUUUUAUUACUUUCAAACCAUUUAUUAUUUUCUUUAUUUAUACAUAUAUUAUUUUUACCUAUUUUCUGUUUUUUCCUAAACCUUUUUUUUUGUGAUAACCUUGAAGUACGCUUAAAUUCCCUUUUAUUUACGUUUUUUUUGCUAUGAGCAUUCUGUUAUAAUAAAUAAGUUUUCAUUUGAAUUUCAAUAUGUUCUAGUUGUUCGGAUUGGGGGUGUCAUGUCUCGACGUAGUAUGGAAGUAGGGUAGAGUGUUAGUUCGUUCAAGGGAUCAUCGGCCUCUCUUUAGGUCUUGCGGCUAAGAUGAUCAUGGUAGGAUGGGCAAUCAGCUGUCGUAGCAACACCAGUGCAGCUGGAACAGCUAAAACCAACUCGGCUUUUGCAACAACAUCUUGCAGUGUCAUAACUAGUCAAUUUUAUGUGUUUUCCUAUCCUUUCUGUCUGUCCGAUCGAACCUGUAUUUGGCCUAAACCAGCACGCGAAUUUUAAUGUAAUUAUGUAUAUACAAAGCGAGCAGGUAGCACAGUGGUCUUUUUUAACCCCCUCCCAGCCGACGACAGCAGAGCCGGAACAAGCGCGUGCUCCUCUGGUCGCUACAAUACCAUCAGCUCGUGGUGUCAACAUAUACCCACCUACGUUAUAUGUUACAAGUCAAGUGAAAUGUACAUAUUUAUUUUAUUUCUUAAUAUUUAAUUUAUUGUGUAAUUUAUUUAAAUAUUCGUUAUGCUUUAUUAAAACAUGCAUAUUGAAGUCAAAUCUCAGCCAAAACUUUAUUGCGCCGGGACAUAAGUAACAUUGGUAAAAUUAUGAUUUUGAUUUUUGAUAACUGAAGUUGUGAAUAUUUAAUUCGUGAUGUUUCAGUCCAUUGCGGGACCUAAAACUUAUUUUCAUAUAACACAACUCGCAAUGAAAUUCAUUAAUUUCGAAUAGCAAAUGAACUAAAGUAUCUUAAGAGUUAGAUGUUCUAAUAUAGGGUUUCGAGUUAUGUAUGAGCAUAUGUUAAAUGUAAAAAACCUAGCAUACGGUCCAUUUUUAUAUAUAAUGUUUUCAUUUGAAUGGUUUAUGUACAUACCAAUACAUGUAUGUAUGUAUGUAUGUAUAUAAAGACAGAAAAUAUAAUAUUUGAAAUCCUUUUCUCACAUCUGGCUUUUACAUGAUUACAACUAUAUACCUAACGCAACAACCAAUCAGCAUAGAUCUCAUUUUAGAAGUAAAGACGAUUUAGAGUAUAAAAGAUCUUGUAAUUAUGAUUAAAUAAUUUAGUAUAAAACAUUGUGUAGUUUGAAUUUUUUCAAUUUUAUAAUGGUAUGUAAGCAUUGUUUUUUUUUUUGAUAUAUAAAUGGAUAAACAAAACUUCAUUAAACAUGUACAUGCAUAGGCGUUCCUAGAAACACUUAACGAGAUAAAACCGGCGAUUGGAUACACCAAGGUUGAAGAUCUAUGUAUAGGAUUUGCCUAAAAGAUCAAUGGAUGUAAACUUAAAAAAAACAUAAUUUGGAACAAAGGUUAUGGAUAUUUUUACCUAAAUGUUAUGUAACCAAAUUUUCCACAAAAGCACCCUUUAACGGAGC